GGCUGGGCUCGAGCCGCGGCUGGGGGAGCAGUCGCUCCGCCGCCCGCCUCUCUCCGCCGCUGGAAGCUGGCGUUCGGCCCGCCUCGCGGGGCUCCUCGUUUGCGUCGCCUCGUGCGUCGCGGCGGGGUUCUCUCGCGGGGUGGUGUCCGGCGCCGCGUCGAAGGCGGGCCGGUGGAGGGGACUGGGUACGGCGGAUGCGGCGGCGACUCUGGACGCGCGCCGGGCCCUUCUCGCGGAUCUCCCCAGCUGCGGCGUCUGUGGGGGCCCCGUUCACGCGGGGUCCCUGCGGGUCGCCCUCGGGCUGGGCGCCUAGCAGCUGACUU
This 323-nucleotide ribosomal RNA is filed under the name Labrus bergylta (ballan wrasse). Its description in RNAcentral is "partial 28S ribosomal RNA". Lineage: Eukaryota; Metazoa; Chordata; Actinopteri; Labriformes; Labridae. The record is from RNAcentral.